UAGGCAGCAUCAUAUUCUCACGAACAUUAGAAUCAUUACCAAGAAAUGAAAGUACCUGCUAAUUUAAUUGGCAUGCGCGAGCUCUAGUAAUUGGUCCUCUAUAUGUAUCAGUAGGGGAUGUGGGUGUAACUUUGUUAGUGAUUGUUUCUACCAUGGUGUACAGAAUGUUUAUCAAAUUGCCAUGGUCUACCAAGUAAUAAGGAACAUGAUUGCAUGGGUACCACAUCACAAUCAACAUAAUCAGGAACAUGAUUGCAUGGGUACCACAUCACAAUCAACAUAAUCAGCAUAUGUAGAGAUACUAAAAUUCACACGAACAAUACAUGUUACCUUAACCUUGCCGCUAUUAUUGAACCAUUGGAUAUAGUAAGGAUGUGGAUGUGGUCUUGUGGUGAGAGAUAGAUUCUCCACCAUCUCCAUGCUAGCCCAGUUGUUGCACCUCCCUCCAUCUAUGAUGACGCGAAUAGAAUGUUCCUUCACAACUCCCUUUUUAUGGAACAAAUUAUGCCUCUGAUUUUGCUCUGCUUGUGUCAUCUGCACACUCAAAACACAUUGAGCAACUAAACAUUCAUACCUGUCAGCGUCUUCAGGAGCCAUGUAUUGCGUCUCAUUUUCAGAAUCAUCUCCACCGUGUUCUUCACGUGUAAUAAGAGCCAAAGUCUCCUCAUCAUAGUCACUAGCGGACUCAUAACCACCACCCUCAUUAGCAAUCAUCACACGCUGAGAUUUGCAUUCUCUUGCAUAAUGACCUCUUCCCUUACAACGACGACAAAUAAUAUUAAUUGUGUGCCCUGUUGAUGCCAUGGAAGAAGAAGAGUUCUGUACAAGCCCGAAAGGUGUGCUCUUGGUUGAUAGUGGUGGUUGUGCCUGCUUUCUUGUAUCACGACUGGAGGUGGCAGCUGAUGGAGGUGCCGAUGCAGUAGAAUGUGUGGAAGUUGAGGAUGCACGCGGUGUCCAUGAGGAAGGUCGACUUGCAGAAUAGUUAGUUUGUGCCAAUGUCUGCCGAUCCUGCACUUCACGUUCAUCUUUACAAGCAAGAUGGAAUAAACGAGUGAUAUUAUUAUACUCCUUAUACUCUAGAAUAUUCUGAAUCUCUCUAUUUAAUCCACCCAUAAAAUGUGCAAGCAUAGCUUCAUUAUCCUCAACAAUACCUCAUCUAAUCAUGCCAGUUUGUAGUUCGUGAUAAUAUUCCUCUACAGAAUUUUUUCCUUGUCUUAAAUGCUGAAAUUUCUGAAGUAAUUCACGUUGAUAAUAUGGUGGAACCCAACGAGUACGCAUAUCAGUUUUCAAAGCAGCCCAAGUAGUUGGAAUAUUAGUCGGAUAUAAUCUACGAUGUUCAGACCACCACACACAAGCAAAACUAAUGAAAUCACAAAGUGUAGCAGCAACACGUCUCUCCUCGGGAUAUUCUAAACAUGGAAAACGUUGUUCGGUUUCUAACUCCCAAGUAAGAAAUAUAUCAAGAAUGUAUCUACCCUCAAAUGGUGGAAUAUUCAAUUUCAGUUUAGGGAGAUGGUCAUGAUCUCGUACCUGAGGGGGAGCCCUACCAUUGCCAUUAUUUGCAUGUGGAUGACCUGGUGGUUGUGGUGCUGGUGGUUGCACAUAGUUAUGAUUUUGAUCAACCUCUUCCUCGUAAUCUCCCGCAUAAUCAUCCUCCUCCGCAUCAGCAGCAGGAGCCACAGAAGUAUCAACAGUAGUACCAACAGUUUGGCCAGGCUCAAGAGGGACAUGACUCGCUCGGCGGAGAGUUGUUUCACGACGUGGAGGUAGUCGUCGUCGUUGUUGUUGUUGUUGUUGUUGUUGUUGCAGAGGUGCGGCAGAUGCGGCCGGUGGUGGUUGUGGAAGAUGCACAAGCAAUUCAUUAAAUUUGUUAUCUAGCUUUGUUUCAAACGUCUUCUCAAAGCCAGUUAUCUUAUCCAUGGCCUCUUCAAAAUUGUUCAGCACAUCUCGCAUCUGUUCAGUCAUCAUUUGCUGGAAUUUAUCAUGGAACUCCUUAUUCAUCAUGUUCUCCCAGUCAGUCUCAUCGACUUGUGAUCCUUCCAUGGUUAGUAGCAAUAGAAACACACAAGAAUAUGAUCCUACAGACUACUAGAAAAUGGUGGUGGUGGGGCGUCACAAAUCUGUCAAGCAAAUCUCAAAUUCUUACCAGUUCUUACCCAGAAGCAGGCGGUGAUCGGCAAUCGUCGUAGUCAAAACUCUCAAAACUUGGAUAGAGCGACUACCAGGGAGAGUCAAACGCAUGAAGUAGAUGUAUGUGGAGCUGGGAAGGCUUAUAAUGUGGUAGCAAAAAGGGUCAGCAAUAAUCAAUUCAGAGAUGCAAAGUUGAAUAAACACUCAACGACGGUAUUGUCCUGGUCCUAGGUGAGACCAUGCUAGAGACCGUCCUAAGGGUUGUAUAUAUGGAGGAAGAGGGGGGAAUUGCGUGGCCCUUGGAGGAGGGGUCCGAAACCAACCCUAACUCUUGUUUCCCCACACAUAUGGACUCUAAAAACAGCCUAUACUCGAGUAUUUCGAAAUUACAUGGGCCUGGCCCAAUAAUAAGGUGACGCAGCACCUAUAAUAGCCUCUAGACGAAAUUUAUGAAGUGGCAUCUUGUAUAUUUCGUCCAAGGCUUCACACACUCAUUAUGGUGGCUUCAAAGUCCUGAAAUCAUCACUUGUAACUCCGUUCUUGUUCCCCUUGCGCAUGCCAUCAUCUCCAUGCUUGAUCUUGCUCCAAUGAUCAUCCUUCUUGUCCAAGCUAGGCCCUUCAUUUUUAAGCCAAACAAAUAUAUCCAAUUUAAGCAACAUCAUAUUCUCAUGAACAUUAGAAUCAUUACCAAGAAAUGAAAGUACCUGGUAAUUUAAUUGGUGUUCGCGAGCUCUUGUAACUAGUCAUGUAUAUGUAUCAGUAGGGGAUGUGGGUGUAACUUUGUUAGUGAUGUCCUCAUCAAGAGGUUUAUCACUCUUGAGCUAUUAAGAUCUAUAACACCGAAGACACUAAUCUAAAGGUGGUCAAUGGACAAAGAAUUAAGCAUUAUAUCUCAGGUAUGCCUAUUAAUGUUGAAACUAACAUUAUUCAAACUAUGACACCGGAGGAAUACAUAAAAGAGACCUUCUAGAAAACUUGAGAACCCUGAAAUGGAAGAGGUAUGUGAUACGGUAAGUAAAC
This 3150-nucleotide long non-coding RNA is filed under the name Triticum aestivum (bread wheat). RNAcentral describes it as "long non-coding RNA (TAES_LNC001548)". The record is from RNAcentral. Lineage: Eukaryota; Viridiplantae; Streptophyta; Magnoliopsida; Poales; Poaceae.